Molecule: transfer RNA, 87 nt
Filed under: Pseudomonadota bacterium
Lineage: Bacteria; Pseudomonadati; Pseudomonadota
Description: Proteobacteria bacterium (freshwater sediment metagenome) tRNA-Ser
Rfam family: tRNA
About the family: Transfer RNA (tRNA) molecules are approximately 80 nucleotides in length. Their secondary structure includes four short double-helical elements and three loops (D, anti-codon, and T loops).
Source: RNAcentral
GGAGGGGUGGGAGAGUGGCCGAUUCCAGCUGCCUGCUAAGCAGUUGUACCCUAACAGGUACCGCGGGUUCGAAUCCCGCCCCCUCCG